Molecule: ribosomal RNA, 1081 nt
Filed under: Clostridium botulinum
Lineage: Bacteria; Bacillati; Bacillota; Clostridia; Eubacteriales; Clostridiaceae
Description: partial 23S ribosomal RNA
Rfam family: Bacterial large subunit ribosomal RNA
Source: RNAcentral
AAUUUUAAGGUCAAGCUACAAAGGGCGCAUGGUGAAUGCCUUGGCACUAGGAGCCGAAGAAGGACGCGAUAAGCUGCGAUAAGCCUUGGGUAGCCGCAAAUAGGCUGAGAUCCAGGGAUUUCCGAAUGAGGAAACUCACAUGGGUAACCCCAUGUAUCAUGCACUGAAUACAUAGGUGUAUGAGGGUAAACCCGGGGAACUGAAACAUCUAAGUACCCGGAGGAAGAGAAAGAAAAAUCGAUUUCCUAAGUAGCGGCGAGCGAACGGGAAAGAGCCCAAACCAGAAACUUGUUUCUGGGGUUGUGGAUAGAUCAUAAAAGAAGAGGUAUCUUAAUCGAAGAGGCUGGAACGCCCUACCAUAGAAGGUAAUAGUCCUGUAGGUAAAAAGAGAAAACUUCGAGAUCUAAUCCAGAGUACCACGAGACACGUGAAACCUUGUGGGAAGCAGGGAGGACCACCUCCCAAGGCUAAAUACUACCUAGUGACCGAUAGUGAAGCAGUACCGUGAGGGAAAGGUGAAAAGAACCCCGGAAGGGGAGUGAAAUAGAACCUGAAACCGUGUGCCUACAACCGAUCGGAGCACGUUAAAGUGUGACGAUGUGCUUUUGUAGAACGAGCCAGCGAGUUACGCUAUGUAGCAAGGUUAAGUACUUAAGGUAUGGAGCCGAAGGGAAACCGAGUCUGAAAAGGGCGAAAAGUUGCAUGGUGUAGACCCGAAACCGGGUGACCUAUCCAUGGCCAGGUUGAAGCGAGAGUAAAAUCUCGUGGAGGACCGAACCACGUUGGUGUUGAAAACCAUGGGAUGAGCUGUGGAUAGCGGAGAAAUUCCAAUCGAACUCGGAGAUAGCUGGUUCUCCUCGAAAUAGCUUUAGGCUAGCGUCGUGUAAUUGAGUAAUGGAGGUAGAGCACUGAAUGGGCUAGGGGCUAUAGUAGUUACCGAACCCUAUCAAACUCCGAAUGCCAUAUACUUGUAUCACGGCAGUCAGACUGCGAAUGAUAAGAUCCGUAGUCAAAAGGGAAACAGCCCAGACCAUCAGCUAAGGUCCCAAAGUGUAAGUUAAGUGGAAAAGGAUGUGGGAUU